CCCGUUUGAACAACCCGGGCCGUUGUGGGGGCGGCCGCGCGCUCGCUCCCCCCCCCGCCGCGCAGAGCCAGACGCAGCGGCGGGCGGGGACAAGAUGGCGCCGCCCCCCAAGUGAACACCCAGCGCUGCCUCUCGGAGAGCCCGUCAAGGCUGCCGCGCUGCAGAGUUCUGGAUCAGAUACCACCUGAGGAGCCUCUGAGAAACAUUUAAGAAACUUUCCUGAUGCAGGUUUGGAAAGCACCAAUACCAGCAGGAAAGCAAGAAAGGAAAUGAAAUACAGCACUACUGUAGAAACAAAGAAAGGAUCAUCUGUUGUCCAGAAGGGUUCAGUUCCAUUACCAAGUUUAUCUUCUAGUCAUGUGAAGAGAAAAAGUAAAAAACAGUUCUCAGAAAAUGUAAACAAACCUAUGGUUUUAAAACCAGCAACUCUAGUGGAAUCUUACUUAGAUCAGUCCUUACAGAUUUCAUCUCUAAAUAAAGAUGGUAUGCUGGAUGAACUGCAGAUGCUAGGUGAUAUCACUAAACAUCUAAAUCAGAUUAUAAACUCAUUGGAAAAUUUUUAUUAAAAAAAUGUUGAAGUGAAAGACGAAGAAGAUGCACAAGAAGACUCAAAUCAGAAAGAUCAUGAGGAUAUGACUGAGUCACUGUUGUGUUUCUCAACAAUCUCAUCACAGUUAGAAGCAUCAUUUGAUGAAGAAAGAGAAGUAUGUAAUGUGAAACUUAUUUCUUUGAUUCUCAUUACAAUGUAAUGAAGAUAAAUUUAAGAACUGUGUCUACAGAUUUCUACUUGUGGAAAGCUUUUACAGUUCUGCAGUCAGGACAUUUUUUAUGUCAAG
Molecule: long non-coding RNA, 836 nt
Filed under: Apteryx owenii (little spotted kiwi)
Lineage: Eukaryota; Metazoa; Chordata; Aves; Apterygiformes; Apterygidae
Description: lncRNA (ENSAOWG00000005465.1)
Source: RNAcentral